UCGAGAAUCUUCGGCAAUGGGCGAAAGCCUGACCGAGCGACGCCGCGUGUGCGAUGAAGGCCUUCGGGUUGUAAAGCACUGUCGAGGGGGAGGAAGCCGCAAGGUUGACCUAUCCCUGGAGGAAGCACGGGCUAAGUUCGUGCCAGCAGCCGCGGUAAGACGAACCGUGCAAACGUUAUUCGGAAUCACUGGGCUUAAAGGGCGCGUAGGCGGGCAACCAAGUCCGGGGUGAAAUCCUCCAGCUCAACUGGAGAAGUGCCUCGGAUACUGGCUGCCUCGAGGAGGGUAGGGGCAUCUGGAACUAGCGGUGGAGCGGUGAAAUGCGUUGAUAUCGCUAGGAACUCCGGUGGCGAAGGCGAGGUGCUGGACCCUUUCUGACGCUGAGGCGCGAAAGCCAGGGGAGCGAACGGGAUUAGAUACCCCGGUAGUCCUGGCCCUAAACGAUGAGAACUAGAUAGCGGACUUGAUAUGAGUGCGCUGUCGGAGCAAAAGUGCUAAGUUCUCCGCCUGGGGAGUAUGGUCGCAAGGCUGA
Molecule: ribosomal RNA, 532 nt
Filed under: uncultured Planctomycetaceae bacterium
Lineage: Bacteria; Pseudomonadati; Planctomycetota; Planctomycetia; Planctomycetales; Planctomycetaceae
Description: bacterial SSU rRNA
Rfam family: Bacterial small subunit ribosomal RNA
Source: RNAcentral